GAAGGACAAGAAAACCCUUAUCAACGACAUGGCGGGCACCUUCGAGGAGGGGUUCAAAGAGGCUCUGGCCCAGGCCGUCUGCGAGAACCCGGGAAUCGACGUUUCUAACUGUGAUUCCACUCAUCACAUCGUCGACGGGAAGGUCGUGCCCUUUGAGCUGGAUGACUGAACCGCCGCCCUCAACCGCCACCUUACUCCUUUGCACUUUAUACUUG
This 215-nucleotide long non-coding RNA is filed under the name Phaseolus vulgaris (common bean). RNAcentral describes it as "long non-coding RNA (PVUL_LNC004413)". The record is from RNAcentral. Lineage: Eukaryota; Viridiplantae; Streptophyta; Magnoliopsida; Fabales; Fabaceae.